RNAcentral lists this ribosomal RNA (1244 nucleotides) under metagenome. RNAcentral describes it as "bacterial SSU rRNA". It matches the Rfam family "Archaeal small subunit ribosomal RNA", at positions 115 to 1368 of the family's 1478-position model. The record is from RNAcentral.
UUAGGUUCAGGACAGCCUUGGGAAACUAAGGGUAAACCUGAAUAGGAGAAACAUACUGGAAUGUAGUUUCUUUUAAAAGCAAUGCCUAAGGAUGAGUUGGCGGCGGAUUAGGUUGUUGGUGGGGUAAAGGCCCACCAAGCCUAUGAUCCGUAGGGGCCGUGAGAACGGGAGCCCCGAGAAGGACACUGAGAUACUGGUCCUAGCCCUACGGGGUGCAGCAGGCGCGAAACCUUUACAAUGCACGAAAGUGUGAUAAGGGAAUCCCCAGUGCUCAUGCUCUGCAUGGGCUUUUUGCCAAGAGUAAAUAUCUUGGCGAAUAAGUGGUGGGUAAGACUGGUGCCAUCCGCCGCGGUAAUACCAGCGCCACGAGUGGCAACUAGUUUAUUGGGCCUAAAGCGUUCGUAGCUGGUUUAGUAAAUUUUUUGUGAAAUUGUUAUGCUCAACGUAACAGCGUGCAAGAAACACUGCUAGACUUGGGACCGGGAGAAGUUAGGGGUAUAUCUUGGGGAGCGGUAAAAUGCUAUAAUCCUUGGUAGACCACCUGUCGCGAAGGCGCCUAACCAGAACGGAUCCGACAGUGAGGGACGAAAGUCAGGGGAGCGAACCGGAUUAGAUACCCGAGUAGUCCUGACCGUAAACGUUGCGAGCUAGGUGUUGCGUAUUCCCCGUGAAUAUGCAGCGUCGUAGCGAAGGCGUUAAGCUCGCCGCCUGGGAAGUACGGCCGCAAGACAGAAACUUAAAGGAAUUGGCGGGGGAGCACCACAAGGGGUGCGGCGUGCGGUUUAAUCUAAUUCAACGCAGAGAAUCUCACCAGAUGCGACGGCAAGAUGAAAGUCAGGCUAAAGGUCUUACUUGAUGAGCCGAGAGGUAGUGCAUGGCCGUCGUCAGCUCGUGCCGUAAGGUGUCCUGUUAAGUCAGGUAACGAGCGAGACCUACAUCCACAAUUGCUAGCGGCCUUUGGGACCGAGCACUUUGUGGGGACUGCCUUGGAAACAAGGAGGAAGGUGUAGGCUACGAUAGGUCUGUAUGCUCCGAAUCUUCUGGGCUACACGCGCGCAACAAUGGUAAGGACAAUAGGCUGCAACUCCGAAAGGAGAAGCUAAUCCUUUAAACCUUAUCUAAGUUCGGAUUGAGGGUUGUAACUCACCCUCAUGACGCUGGAAUCCCUAGUAAUCGAAUAUCAUCAUUGUUCGGUGAAUAUGUCCCUGCUCCUUGCACACGCCGCCCGUCAAACCACCCGAGCA